CCUACGGGGGGCAGCAGUGGGGAAUAUUGGACAAUGGGCGCAAGCCUGAUCCAGCCAUGCCGCGUGAGUGAAGAAGGCCUUAGGGUUGUAAAACUCUUUCGGCAGGGAAGAUAAUGACGGUACCUGCAGAAGAAGCUCCGGCUAACUCCGUGCCAGCAGCCGCGGUAAUACGGAGGGGGCAAGCGUUGCUCGGAAUUACUGGGCGUAAAGCGAGCGUAGGCGGUUAAUCAAGUUGGUGGUGAAAGCCCAGAGCUUAACUCUGGAACUGCCAUCAAAACUGAUUGACUAGAGAUUGGUAGAGGAAAAUGGAAUUCCUAGUGUAGAGGUGAAAUUCGUAGAUAUUGGGAAGAACACCAGUGGCGAAGGCGAUUUUCUGGGCCAAUUCUGACGCUGAGGUUCGAAAGCGUGGGUAGCAAACAGGAUUAGAUACCCGAGUAGUC
RNAcentral lists this ribosomal RNA (440 nucleotides) under uncultured bacterium. RNAcentral describes it as "bacterial SSU rRNA". It matches the Rfam family "Bacterial small subunit ribosomal RNA", at positions 338 to 795 of the family's 1533-position model. The record is from RNAcentral.